This is a long non-coding RNA of Erinaceus europaeus (western European hedgehog), 1116 nucleotides long. RefSeq lists it as uncharacterized. The record is from RefSeq and is a predicted model, not a curated record. NCBI's taxonomy places the organism in Eukaryota, Metazoa, Chordata, Mammalia, Eulipotyphla, Erinaceidae. The transcript has 4 exons.
AGAAAGGGUGCGUCACAGAGAUGAAGAGAGACUGGAAGUGGAUUUACCGAGAUGCUUCCUCAUAGGAAAUCCUGUGUUCGACCAGCCACGGUCUUUCUCUGCUUGGGAGGAAGGAGGAACUCCAGGUUCUGCUCCUGGGCUCACUGGAGGGAGAUUUGGUUUCAGUUCCUGCUCUUUUUUUUUUUUUUCCCCUGUGCUGGGAUACAUUAAGCUAAGCCACUGAUCCGAAGUGCAGCAACCAGAAGUGGCCUUGCUGGGAGGCUGACUUAUCUAGACCUCUUCACCUUGGUCUUGGCUGUUGUUUGGGCUGGAGUUCCUGGCUGAAGACAGAGCCCUAAAGGAAGAUCCAUAUGAUGUCCAUGGGCAAGGCUCUGAGGACAGAAAGAUGAAUAAUAAUGCAUAUUUUGCACGUGGAAGGAGACCACACUCUAGCCGCGGAAAAGGAGGCAGUUCUGUGUAUUUUCACACAUGGAACUUUGGACAUAGGAAGACAUAAGUCACCAGGUUCCAGAUGCUAGCAUGAUGCCGACCAGACUUUCCUGGACAGACAACCCCACCAAUGAGUCCUGGAGCUCUGCUUCCCCAGAGACCCACCUUACUAGGGAAAGAGAGAGGCAGACUGGGAGUAUGGACUGACUAGUCAACGCCCAUGUUCAGUGAGCAAGCAAUUACAGAAGCCAGACCUUCCACCUUCUGCAUCCCACAAUGACCUUGGGUCCAUACACCCAGAGGGAUAAAGAAUAGGAAAGCUAUCAGGGGAAAGGAUGGGAUAUGGAGAUCUGGUGGUGGAAACUGUGUGGAGUUUUACUCCUCUUAUCCUAUGGUUUUGUUAAUGUCUCCUUUUAAAAAUAAAUAAAUAAAUAAACAAAAAAGAUAGUCCAUGCUAUCUGAAGCAGUUUUAAAAAAGCUAUUUUAUAUAGUAUGACUAAAUAAAAGAAUAAGCAAAAAAUAGAAUCAGGGAUAAAGAGGGUCAUUUCCUGCUGGAAAAGUGGUCAUUACACUUACAGGAUGUAGCAGUAAAGAUUGUUAUGCACCUAAAAAUGGUUUCAAAAUACAUGAAGCACAACUGAUAAAAUGGAAAAGAAAAAUAAUUCUUCUAUAGUCUCAUAUUUCCAC